AUGAUUCAAGAGUACAAUCCGAGUAUUGAAUAUACUCCAGGCAAAGCCAAUGUCAUUGCAGAUGCUUUGAGCAGGAAGGCUUAUCGCAACAGCUUAAUUCUCAAGCCAUUUCAACCGGAUCUUUGUGAAGCUUUCCGCAAGCUGAAUCUCCAAGUUGUUCCUCAAGGCUUUCUUGCCAACCUCAUAGUCUCUCCUACUUUGGAAGAUCAAAUUCGUGAGGCACAACUCCUGGAUACCAUGGUGAAGAAGGUGAAACGUGGUAUUGACAAGGGUCUUUCCAAAUACAAGUGCUAUCGCAUUGAUGACAGAGACACUUUAUUCUUCGAGGACCGGAUUGUGGUUCCUAAAGGUGAUCUAAGGAAAGUCAUUAUGAACGAGGCGCACAAUUCUCUUCUUUCCAUUCAUUCUGGAAGUACGAAGAUGUACCAUGACCUCAAGCAGUCGUAUUGGUGGACUCGAAUGAAGCGAGAAAUCGCUCAAUUCGUGAAUGAAUGUGAUGUCUGUCGAAGAGUGAAAGCAGAACACCAACGACCAGCCGGUCUUCUCCAACCUCUUGCUAUCCCAGAGUGGAAGUUUGAUCAUAUCGAAAUGGACUUCGUGACUGGAUUUCCAAAGUCCAAGCGUGGAAAUGAUGCUAUCUUCGUUGUCAUCGACAAGCUUACUAAAGUGGCUCAUUUCCUUCCAAUCAAAGAAUCUACCACAGAAGCUCAGUUGGCAGAGCUAUACACCUCCAGGAUUGUCUCCUUGCACGGCAUUCCACAAUUGAUUUCUUCAGAUCGUGGAAGCAUCUUCACUUCUAAGUUCUGGGACUCCUUCCAGAAGGCCAUGGGCACACAUAUUCGCUUCAGCACAGCUUUCCAUCCUCAAACUAGUGGCCAAGUCGAGCGAGUCAAUCAAAUUCUUGAAGAUAUGCUCAGGGCUUGUGUCAUUUCCUUUGGCAUGAAAUGGGAAGAUUGUCUUCCAUAUGCAGAAUUCUCCUACAACAACAGCUUCCAAGCAAGUUCGGGCAAUGCCCCAUUCGAGAUUCUCUAUGGCAGAAAGUGUCGUACUCCUCUCAAUUGGUCAGAGACUGGUGAACGCCAACUUCUUGGCAAUGACUUAAUCACAGAGGCUGAAGAAAUGUGUAAAGUCAUACGUGAAAAUCUCAAAGCCGCACAAUCGCGACAGAAGAGUUACUAUGAUAGUAAGCACCGUGAUGUGGCUUUCGAGAUCGGAGACCAUGUCUACCUCCGCGUCUCUCCAAUGAAAGGCACUCGUCGCUUCGGUAUCAAAGGGAAGCUUGCCCCUAGAUACGUGGGUCCUUUCAAGAUCAUUGGCAAAAGAGGCAACCUCGCCUAUCAACUUGAGCUUCCCUCCAACUUCGCGAACGUGCACGAUGUGUUCCACGUGUCACAGCUCCGCAAGUGCUUCAAGACUCCUGAGCACACCAUCAACUUCGAAGAGAUUGACCUCCAAGAAGAUCUGUCUUAUCAUGAGCACCCCGUUGCUAUUCUUGAAGAAACUGAGCGCAAGACUCGCAACAAGUCAAUCAAAUUCCUGAAAGUGAAGUGGUCGCACCAUUCCGACCGAGAAGCCACCUGGGAACGCGAGGACCACCUCCGUUCCGAAUAUCCGGAGUUCUUUCAGUCCUAG
This 1632-nucleotide ribosomal RNA is filed under the name Triticum aestivum (bread wheat). RNAcentral describes it as "partial small subunit ribosomal RNA". Lineage: Eukaryota; Viridiplantae; Streptophyta; Magnoliopsida; Poales; Poaceae. The record is from RNAcentral.